GGGAAACUCUUGCAGCCCAGCAGUGAUGAAUCUUGAUGUUCUCAGCUGUUAAACAGACCUGAGCAUUGCCCCAGAGUGAAAGAGUCCCAGUAACCACUGCUUUUGCAGCAGCAGCUGUGAGCCUGCCCACUACUUGAUAUGUAAUGCAUUUGUCAUACAGCCUGGGUUGAAAGAAGUCAAACAGAGUAAAAGUCUAUUAUCUAAAGCUUCAGUCAGAAGGGAGGUACCUACUUAACUUCUCUCCUGAUGCUGAUGUGAACACAGCAUGUACUGCUCGUAGGUGGUGACUGAUAAGAGGAUCUGUGGUGGGGCUCCUUACCUGAGCACAGCCAGCGAACAGCCAAAUCAAGCCCAAGGUCACCAUAGAAGGGAGAGAAGAUUCAGAUCCACAAACUCUUGGGAUUGGCUAAUAGAAGAUCUCUGCUGUGAAGCCCAUCUUCAACAUGGCAGGGUCAUUGUUUCCCUCUGGCAAAGGAGAUUUUGUUUGCAACAGGUGAGGUUGAGUUGGUGCAAACUGCAAGCUCUGUGUAGUAGUAACUCCACCAGCUUGGAGGGUCUUUAUCAGAGAACAUCACUCAGUGAUUCAUACAAAAGAGGACAAGAAGCUGAUCUCUGGACAGGAAGCACAGAAAACUUCUGAGCUCGUGCCAGACCUCAGUGAAGUCUAAGGGAGAGCCCAAGAGUUCCAUCAUUGUUCUGUCAUUGUCCUCUCCUGUUAGCACAUGGAGCACAAUCAGACAGCAGUCCUACCAAGAGCCUCUAGGGGCUACUGCAGUUUAAUAAAUCACAAUAUAUAAAAUGCAAACCAGUUUUUAGUCUGAUAUGGGCUGUGUUAAUCUCUGGUGUGCUAUCUUGGACUUCAGAAGAGUUACAAGCAAUGGAAUAUUGCCCACUGAACCUUUGCUGACUGUUCUCACAUUGCCAGGAAGGAUAAAGGAUAAAGUUUUCUUUUGUGUGAGAGGGCCUGAACUUCCAACAUCUCCAAGAGCGCAGGCAACUGGUUUGCUUGAUGUGUCAGAGAAAGAGAGAGAGAAGAAAAAGUCUCCAUGUCUCAUGCUGCAGCCUGAUCAUAGCUGUUUCCAAGAGAGCUGA
This is a long non-coding RNA of Zonotrichia albicollis (white-throated sparrow), 1092 nucleotides long. The record is from Ensembl. NCBI's taxonomy places the organism in Eukaryota, Metazoa, Chordata, Aves, Passeriformes, Passerellidae.